UACGUAGGGGGCAAGCGUUAUCCGGAUUUACUGGGUGUAAAGGGAGCGUAGACGGCAGAGCAAGUCCGGAGUGAAAGCCCGGGGCCCAACCCCGGGACUGCUCUGGAAACUGUUAAGCUGGAGUGCGGGAGGGGCAGGCGGAAUUCCUAGUGUAGCGGUGAAAUGCGUAGAUAUUAGGAGGAACACCAGUGGCGAAGGCGGCCGACUGGACGGUGACUGACGCUGAGGCUCGAAAGCGUGGGUAGCAAACAGG
RNAcentral lists this ribosomal RNA (253 nucleotides) under uncultured bacterium. RNAcentral describes it as "partial 16S ribosomal RNA". It matches the Rfam family "Bacterial small subunit ribosomal RNA", at positions 524 to 776 of the family's 1533-position model. The record is from RNAcentral.